CGCCCCCACGCGCGACGCCACCAAAACCCGAGCAACCCACGCCAACCCAAUCGGUAGGGUUUUGGACCUCCCCCCGCCCGCCGCCGGCGCCGCCGAUCGCAUCAAGGAAGGAAGGAAGGGAGGGAGAGGCCCGCGGGCUCAGGCAGCAGGCAGGCAGGAGGAAUGGCGCAGUCACUGGAGCUCCUGCUAAUCCAGUUCCUGAUGCCGGACAACGACGCGCGGCGGCAGGCGGAGGAGCAGAUCCGGCGGCUGGCGCGGGACCCGCAGGUCGUGCCGGCGCUCGUCCACCACCUCCGCACCGCCAAGACCCCCAACGUCCGCCAGCUCGCCGCCGUGCUCCUCCGCAAGAAGAUCACCUCCCACUGGCCCAAGCUUCCACCGCACGCCAAGGCUUCCCUAAAGCAGGCCCUCAUCGACUCCAUCACCCUCGACAACAGUCAUCUUGUAAGGAGAGGUAGUGCAAAUGUCGUGAGCAUUAUUGCUAAGUAUGCUGUCCCUGCAGGAGAGUGGCAAGAGCUGUUACCGUUCCUUUUCCAAUGCAGCCAAAGUCCACAAGAAGAACAUAGGGAAGUAGCUUUAAUUCUGUUCAGCUCCCUUACUGAAACUAUUGGGACUACGUUUCAAUCUCAUCUGAAUAAUUUGCAACCUAUUUUACUGAAAUGCCUGCAAGAUGAGACCAGCUCCCGAGUCAGAAUCGCCGCCCUAAAGGCUGUUGGAUCCUUCAUAGAGUAUGUCAAUGAAGGAGGAGACAUUGUAAAGAUGUUUCGAGACUUUGUUCCCAGUAUCUUGAAUGUAUCAAGGCAAUGUCUUGCUAAUGGCGAUGACGAUGUUGCUUCCAUUGCCUUUGAAAUAUUCGACGAACUAAUUGAAUCUCCUGCACCACUUCUUGGAGAUUCAGUGAGAUCAAUUGUGCAGUUCUCGCUUGAAGUUUGCUCAAACCAAGAUAUGGAAAUAAAUAUAAGGCAACAGGCUAUUCAGAUAAUCUCAUGGCUUGUAAAAUUUAAAGCAUCUUUCUUAAAAAAGAACAAGCUGAUUGUACCUAUUCUACAAGUUAUGUGCCCCUUGCUUACAGAAACAGCUAAUGAAGAUGAAGACUCUGAUUUAGCGGCAGAUCGCUCUGCAGCCGAAGUCAUUGAUACAAUGGCUAUCAACUUACCAAGACACGUUUUUGGACCAGUUCUUGAAUUUGCUUCUGUGAACUUUCGUCACGUUAAUCCCAAGUAUCGUGAGGCUGCUGUUACUUCGCUGGGUGUUGUCUCAGAAGGUUGUUCUGAACAUUUUAAGGAUAAGUUGGAAGAAUGUCUCAAAGUUGUUUUAGAAGCUUUAAAGGAUCAAGAGCAGAUGGUUAGAGGUGCUGCAUCAUUUGCUCUUGGUCAGUUUGCCGAACACUUGCAGCCAGAAAUUUUAUCUCACUAUGAGAGUGUACUUCCAUGCAUCUUAAAUGCACUUGAAGAUCCAUCAGAUGAAGUUAAGGAGAAAUCUUAUUAUGCACUGGCGGCGUUCUGUGAAGAUAUGGGUGAAGAUAUCCUACCAUAUCUGGAACCUUUGAUAUGCAGAUUAGUUAUAUCUUUGCAGAGCAGUCCUCGGAACCUGCAAGAGACAUGCAUGUCUGCAAUUGGCUCUGUAGCAGCUGCUGCAGAACAGGCAUUUAUCCCAUAUGCAGAGAAGGUUCUUGAAAUGAUGAAAGGCUUUAUGGUGCUCACUAAGGACGAAGAUUUGUGCGCACGAGCUAGGGCUACUGAGGUUGUUGGGAUAGUUGCAAUGGCAGUUGGCAGAACCAGAAUGGAAGCCAUAUUACCUCCUUUUAUUGAGGCUGCUAUUUGUGGUUUUGGAUUGGAUUAUAGCGAGCUAAGGGAGUACACUCAUGGUUUUUUUAGCAACGUUGCUGAGAUUCUGGAUGAUAGUUUCUCACAGUAUCUCCCUCAUGUUGUGCCUCUUGCAUUUUCCUCGUGCAACUUGGAUGAUGGUUCUGCUGUGGACAUUGAUGAUGCUGAUGGUGUUGACAAUGGAUUUAGUGGUGUUUCCUCUGAUGAUGAUGAUGAUGAUGAGCCAAGAGUUAGAAAUAUCAGCGUGAGGACUGGAGUGUUAGAUGAGAAAGCUGCUGCAACUCAGGCUAUUGGAUUUUUUGCACUUCACACAAAGAGUGCCUAUGCCCCGUACUUGGAGGAGUCGUUGAAAAUUUUAAUCAAGCACAGUGGGUAUUUUCAUGAAGAUGUCAGGCUUCAGGCUAUUAUUUCCUUAAAACACAUCCUAACUGCGUUAAGGGCAAUACCUGCACAUCCUGAUAUACUAGAGAAACAGAAGGAUGUUCUUGAUACUAUUAUGAACAUCUAUAUCAAGACCAUGACAGAGGAUGAUGAUAAAGAAGUAGUCGCUCAAGCUUGCAUGAGUGUAGCUGAUAUCAUGAAAGAUUGUGGUUUUGCUGCUGUUGAACUUUAUAUGCCACGGCUUGCUGAGGCAACACUUGCUCUGUUGCGUCAAGAAUCAUGUUGUCAGCAAGUAGAGUCGGAUGGUGAAGAUGAUGGUGACAUAGAUCAUGAUGAAGUCCUCAUGGACGCAGUUUCAGAUCUUUUGCCUGCUUUUGCAAAAGUGAUGCGAUCUUACUUUGAUCCUAUCUUUGCGAAGUUAUUUGACCCCCUAAUGAAAUUUGCUAAAUCUCCACAUCCUCCCCAAGACAAGACUAUGGUUGUUGCCACUCUAGCUGAGGUCGCUCAAGAAAUGGGUGCUCCAAUUUCUGCUUAUGUUGAUAAGAUAAUGCCUUUGGCGUUGAAAGAACUUGCAUCUUCUGAGGCUACGAAUAGGAGAAAUGCUGCUUUCUGUGUUGGCGAGCUAUGCAAGAACAGCGGUGCUGCAGCACUGAAAUAUUAUCCGGAUAUACUGCAGGGUCUGCACCGUUUGUUUGCUAAUUCCGAACAAGACCUUGCAGUUAGAGAUAAUGCGGCCGGUGCUAUUGCUAGAAUGAUAAUGGUGCAACCUCAGUCGAUUCCUCUCAACCAGGUUCUUCCAGUGUUUAUCAAAGCUUUGCCACUAAAAGAAGAUCACGAAGAAUCAAUGGCUGUCUAUAGCUGCUUAUGUAAUUUGUUGCUAUCAUCACAUCCCCAGAUCCUCACUCUAGUGCCUGAUGUGAUACAUGUCUUUGCCCAAGUGGUAGUCUCCCCAGAUGAGAGUGAUGAAGUCAAAACAACUAUUGGCAAGGCUGUUUCUCAUUUAAUAUCCGUUUAUGGUCAGCAGAUGCAGCCAAUACUAAGUGCUCUACCACCUGCUCAUGCGAAUGCAUUGGCAGCAUUUGCCAGUAGAAGAUGAUCUUCAGGGGAACUAUUACCUUCGAUUUUUGUGUGUCGCCCGAGUGUUUUCUCAAGAUUGCCCUUUGAUGAAAGGUUUUUCGGUGACAUUGCAUUGGAAUGGUGUUUACUGCGGUUGAAGGUGCAGUACUUUGGCUGGCGGCUGCUUCGGUGAGUCCCGUGUGUAUUCAGGUUCCUUUUUUGGCAACUUGUUAUUUGUUUCAGUUUUGCAAUUCUUUUCUGGGAUGUGCAAAUCGUUGAUGUACUGUUGUAUAUAUAAACAUCUUGUCCUACAAUUUUUUGUGUAACUUUGAUUUGUGGUACCUACCAUAUCUUGUUGUGGGCUAUUCGUGGAACUUUUAUUUGCUCUCAUCCAUAUAUUAAGCCUCCAGGUGAUUG
This 3680-nucleotide ribosomal RNA is filed under the name Triticum aestivum (bread wheat). Its description in RNAcentral is "partial small subunit ribosomal RNA". The record is from RNAcentral. Lineage: Eukaryota; Viridiplantae; Streptophyta; Magnoliopsida; Poales; Poaceae.